This 303-nucleotide ribosomal RNA is filed under the name uncultured fungus. RNAcentral describes it as "eukaryotic LSU rRNA". The stretch from base 1 to 113 matches the Rfam family "5.8S ribosomal RNA", at positions 42 to 154 of the family's 154-position model. The record is from RNAcentral. Lineage: Eukaryota; Fungi.
AACGCAGCGAAGGGCGAUAAGUAAUGUGAAUUGCAGAAUUCAGUGAAUCAUCGAAUCUUUGAACGCACAUUGCGCCCUGUGGUAUUCUGCAGGGCAUGCCUGUUCGAGCGUCAUUACUACCAAAAUUGAGCCUAGCUUAGUGUUGGGGUUCGCAGUUCUGCGGCCCUUAAUAUCAGUGGCGGUGCCUGUAGGCUCUGAGCGUAGUAAUUCUUCUCGCUAUAGAGCCCUAUAAGUAUCUUGCCAGAACCCCCCAUAUUUUUUCAGGUUGACCUCGGAUCAGGUAGGGAUACCCGCUGAACUUAA